This is a long non-coding RNA of Pleuronectes platessa (European plaice), 1005 nucleotides long. RefSeq lists it as uncharacterized. The transcript has 5 exons. The record is from RefSeq and is a predicted model, not a curated record. NCBI's taxonomy places the organism in Eukaryota, Metazoa, Chordata, Actinopteri, Pleuronectiformes, Pleuronectidae.
AUGACGUGUGGCUGUCGUAAAAACCCUAUUUGUAAACAACCAGCCCUUUAACUCGGGGCUGCGUCAUAAACACGGCGCGCUUGGAAGACCACGAUGUCAUCUUCCUUCUGUCAGGAGGAUCCCAGUGAAGCUACAGGAGUUUCAUUAACGUCAACAACUUGGACCAAACAGUUUGUUUUGCUUGAUGAAGAGCAGGAAGGGCAGCCUGGAGAGAAAGAGAAGCCGGGUUGAGCCCACUACCAUCAUCCACGUACCACGAGGAAGAUGAGGGAGAGAAAUGAUCCUACCAUUAAAGAGACUGUGAAAAGAACGUUGAGAACAUCACCACUCUACAGGAAGACACAGUCCAGUAAUGGGUGUCAGAAGUUCAGUAGUGAACGACAGGUACUGUGGAAAAAUAUGUGUCAUUGUUGUACAAUGUCCUUUGACUCUGUUUAAACAAGGUUAACACAAAAAGGUUUGAUUGUAAACUGAUAUCGGUAUGAAUUCAUGUUAUUCUCCUCGUCAAAAGAAACAAACAAUCCAAAUUACCUGCAGAAAGCCCUUGAUGGACGCUUCAGCUGCAUCGUCAGACUGGCAGUACUGAUGCAUUUACUGAGACGGGACGUGAGGGCCUACUCUGCGUGCUCAGAGUUCAAGCCCAGCAGGCUGCAGCGGGCCUGACAUAUUCUGGAACAGCAGCACAGUCUUUGGAUGACUCCUCUGAAGAUGAAAACAUGGCGAGUUCUUCUCAAGAGAAGCAGUACAGGUGUGCCUCAGCUCCACGGUCCCUCCUGCAGCCUCCGCUCCUGAUGCUAACCUCAUGUCUCCAUCACACCAAGCAGCAGACCUGGAUUGACAGACCUUUCUCCAGAGCUGCCCCCUCCCUCUGAAACCCCCCUCUCCAAAACACUAUUUGUGUAGUUUUUAAAGUAUUUUUUGCAUGAGAAUUGUUGAUCAUAACAUUUCCAGCAGAUGCCUUAAUAUAAUGUUUGUGCACAAUAAAUGACAUUGAUCAUAACAUAA